This is an RNA transcript of Varanus komodoensis (Komodo dragon), 4480 nucleotides long. It is a transcript of the gene named TELO2-interacting protein 2-like, with no coding region annotated. Lineage: Eukaryota; Metazoa; Chordata; Lepidosauria; Squamata; Varanidae. The transcript is spliced from 6 exons. The record is from RefSeq and is a predicted model, not a curated record.
UGACUCACUGUUUCUAAGUCACACCAUACGUAGGUUUAUUUAGUCCAGUGUUGCCCAUAACAGAAGACAAGAAACCUGUCUCCCUCCCAAUGUUUUUGGACUCCACCUGCUUUCUUCCCCAGACAUGAUCAGGAACAAUUGUAGUUGUAGUCCAAAAUCAUCUGAAAGAUUUUCCAGCCCUGCUUUGCAUUUACUGGUAUCUGCUUUUGUUUCGGGCAGGGCUGUUUCCCAGGCCUGCUUCGAGAUGCUGCAGAUUGACCCUGGGACCUCCUGUGCUGCACGCAAACCCUGUGAGCUACAAUACCCUCCACUAAAAACGAUAGCCUUUCGCCAUUAGAGCCCUGUGCAGUAGGUUAGGUCAGGAGAAAGACUGAGAAACUGGCCCUGUGAGUUUCAUGGGAGAGUGGAGGACUGCAAGGGGGCCUCAUGACCCACAGUCAGAGACCCAUCUCUUCUCGUCGCUCCAACAGGUGGUGCUGCCGUGUAUGCUGGACCUGCUGCCGGUUCUGGAGAAGGCCCCCCAGAGGCUGUCCCACACUCCGACACGUGUGUCCCCAUCUGAUGAGGUACUCCAGCUGAUCCUGACCCACAUGGAAGUGGAGCACCGACUCUCCUUGCGGAGAGUCUAUGCCAGGAACCUGCCUGCCUUUGUAGAGAGGCAUGGCAUCCGGAUCACCCGUCACCUGAAGAAGCUGCAGCAGGUGAUUGUGGGAUACCUGGAGGUUCCUGAUGGACCCGAGGAAGCUGCUAGAUUGGCAGUGUUAGACACUCUGAAGCGCACCAUACAGCACGCAUGGCCCAGGAUGGCCUGCCGUCUCCCUGAGCUCCUUAAGGCUUUGCUGAGAAUGAUGUGGGAUGUGGCUACAGACAGGAGCGCCACCCCUGAGCCAGUGAAGGCAGAGCUGCUCCAAGGAGCCACCGAGUGCCUCCUUUUGCUGGACCAUGCUUCCCACGGACAAGUCAAGGUCCUACUGCAAGGAGUCCACCACAGUUGUCCAGAUGAGCACCUCAAGGAAUACCUGUGGAAAGUACAAGAGGACUCUGCAAAACAGUCUUCCCCAGAGCUCGAGAGAGAAGUUGAAUAAAGACUGUAUUCAAAGAAAGGCCAACAAACGAACAAAGAAAAUCCUGCAGAAAAAGCCAUCCGCAGAAGCACCGUGACUUACUGUCUCUUGAGGGUCAGCUUGCGGAUUCGGAUCAGGUACUGUGUGAUCUUGGUGAAGCGCUGCUUGCAUUUGUGCCGGAUGAAGCGGGGCCAGUAGAUCAGGUUCUCAUCGAUCUCCUCCAGCGCCUUCUCAUAGUUCUUGCUCAGCCGGACCUGCCAGAAAUGGGAAGGCAAGACGUCUGCAACAGCGCUGAGGAGGACUGUCAAAGUCCCAGCUCAAGGAGCAGACCAAGGCUUCUGAUGGGUCUCUUGAAGCCACAAGAAGAGAUGCCACAGUUAUUAAACACUGAGCUUAUGUGCUGUGCAUGACACUAUUGCCCAUAUUUCACUGGCAUAGAUCACUGUUAGUACCACAAUUGUCUUAUAAAGCUGGAACUUGGUUUUCUUAUCAAUUGCUGGAACUGACCAAAUAGUCAUAAGCCCUGGAAUACUGCUGAGGCUUUACCGAUUCUGUGUUUGACAUCUGCAUCUAUGCUGCCAUCUUGUGAUAAGAUGCUAAAACUACUUAAUGGCUGUAAAGGAUAUAUUUACUUGCAAUUAAGCCCACCAGAUUUAACAGGACUUAUUUCUGAGUAGAAUACAUAGGAUUGCACUGACAAUUUUCUAUUUUAGCUUGAGUUGCAGCCUUCCUGAUUAAGGCACUGCUGCCCACAGGCUAAUUAUUUUUAAGUUACUUGCUUUUAAAGAUCUUCCGGCAAGAUUUUCAAAUAGUAAUAUUAAUUCAGUGGGAGGGGGAACAGGUCAAAUUAAUGUGUUUUAAACACACAUCUCUUGAAAGCCGAGUGCACAUAGUGUUUAGAGUUUUGGACUCAGAAUAUACUAUGUCAACUGUAUUGGGAGCAUUAUGCUAAUCACAUGAUAUAUAAAUGCUUUAAAUGAACAAAUGUCCAAGUUCUAGUUGCCAUACAGCCAUGAAGAGAUUUAGAGCCAAUCAUUGACUCUCAGCCUACUUCACAGGCCUGUUGUGAAAAUUAAAUUAAGCCACCCUAGGAAAAACGGCAAGGUAUCGGCAUACAUCAAACAGGCGCUCAAAUAUGAAAACUAAUUCAGAUUGUGCACUGCCAAAUAAGCAAAGGCAGAGAAGGUAAAGAAUCAGAUCCACUCUUACAUUGGCACCCUGUGUCCAUAUCCUUUAAAUUCUCAUCACCCUCUGCCAUAAUCCGGAGCAGCAACAACCAGCACCAAAUGGCAAAUAAAAUCGGAACACAACAUACACAAAAACGCAUUCACACUACCCUAACACGUCUGGAAGGGAGCUUACCCGUUCCCACAGCCGGUUGGGGAAGGCAGAACGUUCAAUGGUCUUCAUGUAAAGGUAGCACUGGCCUGAAAGAGAAGCAGCACGGAAUUGGGUAGGAGUCAUUGCCGGGUCUGCAGCAGCCAGAUUCUGCAAAGGCGACAGACCAGUGUUCAGAAAGAACUAGAGCACCACCUUCCCAGCUGAAUGGAAGCUGUUCCUAUCACACACUGGUUUUAUACUGCCUUUUAUACUGAAUUUCAGGUGUGUCUUAUGUAAGCCAUUCAGAUGCCUUACACUAUCAAGCAGUAUGUAAGAAGCUUUAAUAAGAGGUAUAAACAGCACCUUCAUUGCAAGACCUUCACCUUUGAUUUUAACUUGGGCUGUUUUUUGACCCUCGGCUACAGGGGGGCUGUACCUCUUUCACUUCACAGGGCAAUUUCAGGGGCUACCUUCCAGAACAUAGGAUGUGGUCAGAACUUAAAACACCGAUAUUCAAGCAGUACAUGCCUAAAUGGCCACAUAUUUUCCAUCACUCCAAAUAGAUGCAUCAACACUGGAUCUGAUGCUAAGGAGUCUGGCCAAGACCCUUACCUUUCUCUUCCUUGAUGGUAGCAUACUGGCUGUUUGCCAAGGGGCAGGAGGACCGGUUGCAAAGGCCCGUGACGUUAAAUUCAUUCCGGCAAAAGCUCUGUGUUUUUGUUCUGCAAAGAAGAGAUCCAAAAUGACCCAUUCAGUACCUUUGACAUAGAGAACUUGAUUCAUUCUAAUCCAUUCAUUCUAAGUUCUGACUAUGGAAACCAUAGGAAUGCCUCUGGAAGAAUUCAGCUGAAGCCACAAAGGAGCAAGAUUGUACACAGGCUUGCCCUAAACUCACAAGCCUUGAGAACAUUUUCAUAAGGGUUCAGAUGACAGUGAGAUACCCAAGUUUUUUGUGAUGUGUGACUCCUGCAUUCUGUUAGGCCCACAUCCUAAGAAAUUAUACCCUAAGACGAUGAAUACAAAAUAAAUGACCUGACAAAGGGCUGAUUCAAACCUCCAGCUACUGAUGUGGCACAUUUGUCUUAAAUGUAUAUAUUUAUGAUUUUUAGCCCAGGGGGCAAGGAAAUUCACCUGCCUCAAAAUCUUGCAUUGGAGUUGCCACUGAGAGAACUGUACCUCAAGUGACGUCCCUGUUUAAAAGCGGGCUCAGAAAACAACUGAACUGCCCGAAAGUCAAGAACAAGCAGGCCUGUUUGCUUAUUUUUAUUUCAGUUGCAUUAAUUGCACCUUCAGAAAAUACCCUUGCUUAAAACGGUAUCUGAACGCACACGGUAGGCAUGUCAUGAGUGGAGCCGGCUGGAGCCAGAGGUCAGACUAGAUGGCCCGGGAGACCCCUUCUGACUCUCUCUGUUUCUAUGAAUGUAAUAAAACAAACACAAGUAUGCACUCAAAAUACAUGGUGCUAAAUCCCCACCUCUCUAUUAAAUGCACUGGAUUAGAACCAGAAAAGGUUGCAAUCUGAUGUGAAUUCACCUAGGAGAACAGGCUGUAGGACAUCUGAAUUGACUUGCAUAAGACAGCACUGAGUUAGCUCAGCUGAGUUCUCACUGAAAUCACUGGAAACAAAGUCACAACAAACUUGUCCCCAUCAUUACAAUGGCUAUAAAUUCAACUAACUUAGACUACAAUCCUAUGUGAAAUUACCUCAGAGUUAAGUCCCACUGAAUUAAAAGAGGCUUAUUUCUAAGUCAUCAUGUGCAGGACUCUGCUGUCUGGAUCCAGACCACUGAAUUAAAGUUUGAUUUGUCCAUGUAAAAGAACCAACUGGAGCAAAACGUGUGUCUCCUGAGGUCAGCCAUGAUAAAUACCUUAACCACGAACCGUUUCCAGAAGAUAGAAAAUGCUCCAAUUUGUUGCAAACAGAUUUGUUUUGAUUGCUUUAAAACAAUGCUUCCUCCUGGAAGCUGAAAACUCAUGUAAUCAUGUUCCAAUGAGGCCCUUUUGCCUGGGGCUCUGAAUCUAGCACUACUACAAUCAUUGAUUUGGCAAAUCCUUCAAUUCAGUACAGAGAGACUGAGACCAGGGGGGAGCAUGAA